UUUCCCGUUAACUUUCUCUGU
Caenorhabditis elegans is the source of this 21-nucleotide non-coding RNA. NCBI's taxonomy places the organism in Eukaryota, Metazoa, Nematoda, Chromadorea, Rhabditida, Rhabditidae. The record is from Ensembl.